UGGAGCAAUAUGUCUGGUUAACUCAGUUAACGAACGAGACCACAGCCUACUAAAUAGUACGUGUUAUGGUAACAUAGUAUGAGACUUCUUAGAGGGACAUUUCGGGUUUACCGAAAGGAAGUUUGUGGCAAUAACAGGUCUGUGAUGCCCUUAGAUGUUCUGGGCCGCACGCGCGCUACACUGACGACUUCAACAAGUUUUUUUCUUUGAAAAAGUCCUUGGCUGGAAAGUCUGGGUAAUCUUUUAAUGUUCGUCGUGAUGGGGCUAGAUUUUUGCAAUUAUUAAUCUCCAACGAGGAACC
This 301-nucleotide ribosomal RNA is filed under the name Thraustochytriidae sp. RNAcentral describes it as "SSU rRNA". It matches the Rfam family "Eukaryotic small subunit ribosomal RNA", at positions 1302 to 1610 of the family's 1831-position model. The record is from RNAcentral. Lineage: Eukaryota; Bigyra; Thraustochytrida; Thraustochytriidae.